RNAcentral lists this long non-coding RNA (325 nucleotides) under Monodelphis domestica (gray short-tailed opossum). RNAcentral's name for it is "lncRNA (ENSMODG00000041767.1)". Lineage: Eukaryota; Metazoa; Chordata; Mammalia; Didelphimorphia; Didelphidae. The record is from RNAcentral.
UAUUCAUGAUGAAAAGGGUGAUUUCAGAGAAAUCUAAACAUCCUUGAAUGAAUUGACGCAGAGCUAAGGCAGAGAGAUUCCUCACUCAACAACUCACGAGUUGUUGAGUCACAAGUACCCAACAGGUUCAUCAAAUUCCAUUAUUGAGUUGGAAGGGACUUCAGAAGAAGGAAGUCAGCAGGCAUCUAUCAGAUUUUGACCUUGAAGAGAAAUCCACCUGGCCUUCGGAUAGAUGUACUUCUGGAUCCACAUGCAGACCUCAUUUUUGUCCUAAAGGUUGAUUGUCUCUUAUCAGUCUUGAUCCUGGCAAAUGCUUAUGUGGGAU